RNAcentral lists this ribosomal RNA (464 nucleotides) under uncultured bacterium. RNAcentral's name for it is "partial 16S ribosomal RNA". It matches the Rfam family "Bacterial small subunit ribosomal RNA", at positions 338 to 795 of the family's 1533-position model. The record is from RNAcentral.
CCUACGGGUGGCAGCAGUGGGGAAUCUUCCGCAAUGGGCGAAAGCCUGACGGAGCAACGCCGCGUGAUCGAAUGAAGUCCUUCGGGUUGUAAAGCUCUGUUGCCAGGGACGAAUAAGCAAUGCACAUAGUCUUGUGUAUGACGGUACCUGUUUAGAAUGCUCCGGCUAACUACGUGCCAGCAGCCGCGGUAAUACGUAGGGAGCAAGCGUUGUCCGGAAUUACUGGGCGUAAAGGGCGCGUAGGUGGGCGCGUAAGUCAGGUGUGAAACCCCCGGGCUCAACCUGGAGACUGCACUUGAAACGGGGGGUCUUGAGGGGAGGAGAGGAAAGUGGAAUUCGUAGUGUAGCGGUGAAAUGCGUAGAUAUUAGGAGGAACACCAGUGGCGAAGGCGACAUGCUGGACUGAACCUGACGCUGAGGCGCGAAAGCGUGGGUAGCGAACGGGAUUAGAUACCCCUGUAGUC